This 312-nucleotide long non-coding RNA is filed under the name Gossypium barbadense (sea-island cotton). Its description in RNAcentral is "long non-coding RNA (GBAR_LNC015567)". The record is from RNAcentral. Lineage: Eukaryota; Viridiplantae; Streptophyta; Magnoliopsida; Malvales; Malvaceae.
CCUCUGCUUCCCUCGCUGCCGCCUCUGCUUUAAGUUGUAGCUGGAGUUCUUCAUAUUUCUUUUGAACCUUAAUUGUGGUCGCUUGCAUCUGAGUCAUCUGGUCUUUUAACCUCUGAACUUCAGCUUGAGACUGACUCGCCGAAGGCAUGUAUUGCCGCGAGCUGGAUCCAAAAUAUUGGGUUGGGUUAAUAAAAGAUCCUUGAAAUCUAACCCAACCAUACCUUUCAGGACCCAAAACUUCAGCAAUAAUCUGGUUAUCAAUAUCUUCAAGAUGAACAGAACUCUCACUGGAAGCAAUCGCUUCGUACUCCG